RNAcentral lists this ribosomal RNA (460 nucleotides) under uncultured Flavobacteriales bacterium. RNAcentral describes it as "bacterial SSU rRNA". It matches the Rfam family "Bacterial small subunit ribosomal RNA", at positions 338 to 795 of the family's 1533-position model. Lineage: Bacteria; Pseudomonadati; Bacteroidota; Flavobacteriia; Flavobacteriales. The record is from RNAcentral.
CCUACGGGCGGCUGCAGUGAGGAAUAUUGCGCAAUGGAGGCAACUCUGACGCAGCCAUGCCGCGUGCAGGAAGAAGGCGCUACGCGUUGUAAACUGCUUUUAACCGGGAAGAAACCCCUCUACGUGUGGAGGGUUGACGGUACCGGAGGAAUAAGCACCGGCUAACUUCGUGCCAGCAGCCGCGGUAAUACGAAGGGUGCAAGCGUUAUCCGGAUUCAUUGGGUUUAAAGGGUGCGUAGGCGGGGUGGUAAGUCAGUGGUGAAAUCCUGCAGCUUAACUGUAGAAUUGCCAUUGAUACUGCCAUUCUUGAGUACGCUGGAUGUGGGCGGAAUGUGCCGUGUAGCGGUGAAAUGCUUAGAUAUGGCACAGAACACCGAUAGCGAAGGCAGCUCACAACGGCAAAACUGACGCUGAGGCACGAAAGCGUGGGGAUCGAACAGGAUUAGAUACCCGUGUAGUC